ACUCAAAGGAAUAGACGGGGACCCGCACAAGCAGCGGAGCAUGUGGUUUAAUUCGAAGCAACGCGAAGAACCUUACCAGGGCUUGACAUCCCCCCGACAGCCCCGUAACGGGGGCCUCCUUAGGGCGGGGGAGACAGGUGGUGCAUGGUUGUCGUCAGCUCGUGUCGUGAGAUGUUGGGUUAAGUCCCGCAACGAGCGCAACCCUUGCCGUUAGUUGCCAUCAUUAGGUUGGGCACUCUAGCGGGACUGCCGGGGAUAACUCGGAGGAAGGUGGGGACGACGUCAAAUCAUCAUGCCCCUUAUGUCCUGGGCUACACACGUGCUACAAUGGCCGGCACAGCGAGAUGCGAAGCCGCGAGGCGGAGCGGAACUCCAAAACCGGCCCCAGUUCGGAUCGCGGGCUGCAACCCGCCCGCGUGAAGCCGGAGUUGCUAGUAAUCGCGGAUCAGCACGCCGCGGUGAAUGCGUUCCCGGGUCUUGUACACACCGCCCGU
This 494-nucleotide ribosomal RNA is filed under the name uncultured bacterium. RNAcentral describes it as "bacterial SSU rRNA". It matches the Rfam family "Bacterial small subunit ribosomal RNA", at positions 899 to 1397 of the family's 1533-position model. The record is from RNAcentral.